Molecule: non-coding RNA, 166 nt
Filed under: bovine gut metagenome
Source: RNAcentral
CGUCGUGAGGCGGAAUCUGAAGGAAGCCGGCGGCAAACCUCUGGCCUGACGGACAGAAAUCGCAUAGAGGCUACUAUUGGGGAUAAGGCCGCAGUACAGGUCGAAGUCCAAUAGCUACACGGAACCAACGGUAGUAAAUGCGGCAGGUAGAUGGAGGGAAGGGUAU